GUAGUCUCGCACAGAUGCAUAUCAAUAAGCGGAGGAAAAGAAACUAACAAGGAUUCCCCUAGUAACGGCGAGUGAAGCGGGAAGAGCUCAAAUUUGAAAUCUUAAAGGGUUUCCCUUUACGAAUUGUAGUUUAAAGAAGUGUUUUCUGUUGAGGUUUUGGUAAAAGUUCUUUGGAAUAGGACAUCAUAGAGGGUGAGAAUCCCGUAUUUGACCUUUACUUUCAACUUUGUGAUACACUUUCAAAGAGUCGGAUUGUUUGGGAAUGCAGUCCAAAAUGGGUGGUAAAUUUCAUCUAAAGCUAAAUAUUGGCGAGAGACCGAUAGCGAACAAGUACCGUGAGGGAAAGAUGAAAAGAACUUUGAAAAGAGAGUUAAACAGUACGUGAAAUUGUCAAAAGGGAAGCGUUUGACACCAGUGUUGUUUUUCUGAAAAUCAAUUAAAGAACUGUUUAUGCUAAGCUGUUUAGACUUUAUCAGCUAUCUGUUUAGUUUUGAGCUUUUCUUUAAUGCACUUUUCAGUUAACAAGUCAACAUCAAUUUCUUUUGCUGUAAAAAAGCUUGAGGAAGGUGGCUUGAGAUUCGUCUUAAGUGUUUAUAGCCUCUUGCCUAUGCAGUCGGAGAGAUUGAGGUCUGCAGCGUAGAUCCUUCGGGGCUAAAUGGCAAUUUGUGCUAAGUUAUAGCAUUUUAUAGACAACUUGUUGACUAUGAUUUGUCUUGUAGCUUACUCGCUUAUGUUAUUUUACCUACGCUUAGGAUGUUGAUCUGUAGUGCGUGCGC
Molecule: ribosomal RNA, 776 nt
Filed under: uncultured Neocallimastigales
Lineage: Eukaryota; Fungi; Neocallimastigomycota; Neocallimastigomycetes; Neocallimastigales
Description: partial large subunit ribosomal RNA
Rfam family: Eukaryotic large subunit ribosomal RNA
Source: RNAcentral